Molecule: non-coding RNA, 75 nt
Organism: Streptomyces yokosukanensis
Lineage: Bacteria; Bacillati; Actinomycetota; Actinomycetes; Kitasatosporales; Streptomycetaceae
Rfam family: ASpks TB sRNA
Source: Rfam
CUUCGCCGAGCCCAGCCACAGGGGCUGUUGCGCGCUGCGGUUACGGCCGUAGGUGUCGAGCAGGGCAUGGGCCUC